Molecule: ribosomal RNA, 238 nt
Filed under: uncultured bacterium
Lineage: Bacteria
Description: partial 16S ribosomal RNA
Rfam family: Bacterial small subunit ribosomal RNA
Source: RNAcentral
UACAGAGGGUGCAAGCGUUGUUCGGAAUUAUUGGGCGUAAAGCGCGUGUAGGCGGCCUUGCAAGUCGGGUGUGAAAUCCCUCAGCUUAACUGAGGAAGUGCGCCCGAAACUGCAGGGCUUGAGUACCGGAGAGGGUGGCGGAAUACCCCAAGUAGAGGUGAAAUUCGUAGAUAUGGGGUGGAACACCGGUGGCGAAGGCGUCCGCCUUGACGGAUACUGACGCUGAGACGCGAAAGCG